AGUGAACGCUGGCGGUAGGCCUAACACAUGCAAGUCGAACGGCAGCACAGUAAGAGCUUGCUCUUACGGGUGGCGAGUGGCGGACGGGUGAGGAAUACAUCGGAAUCUACUUUUUCGUGGGGGAUAACGUAGGGAAACUUACGCUAAUACCGCAUACGACCUACGGGUUAAAGCAGGGGAUCUUCGGACCUUGCGCGAUUGAAUGAGCCGAUGUCGGAUUAGCUAGUUGGCGGGGUAAAGGCCCACCAAGGCGACGAUCCGUAGCUGGUCUGAGAGGGUGAUCAGCCACACUGGAACUGAGACACGGUCCAGACUCCUACGGGAGGCAGCAGUGGGGAAUAUUGGACAAUGGGCGCAAGCCUGAUCCAGCCAUACCGCGUGGGUGAAGAAGGCCUUCGGGUUGUAAAGCCCUUUUGUUGGGAAAGAAAAGCAGCAGGUUAAUACCCCGCUGUUCUGACGGUACCCAAAGAAUAAGCACCGGCUAACUUCGUG
RNAcentral lists this ribosomal RNA (492 nucleotides) under uncultured bacterium. RNAcentral describes it as "partial 16S ribosomal RNA". It matches the Rfam family "Bacterial small subunit ribosomal RNA", at positions 29 to 507 of the family's 1533-position model. The record is from RNAcentral.